RNAcentral lists this long non-coding RNA (1237 nucleotides) under Homo sapiens (human). Its description in RNAcentral is "HSALNT0103160". Lineage: Eukaryota; Metazoa; Chordata; Mammalia; Primates; Hominidae. The record is from RNAcentral.
CGACACCCGCCGCCACACAAAGGCGCUGCGUCCUGGCGGCCAGCGGGGGCUUAGUCUAGGCCCGGCAGGGUUUUCUGGAAGACCAGAGGGCCACCAGGUCACCGAGGUGGGAAGUGAAGAGAGGUUCGACGCUGCCUCAGGCCUGGGCCUGGCCGGUGGGAGACACAGCAAGGACUCUGGGAGCCUGCAGAGCAGAGGCCGCCGCGGGGCCGGGCCCCCGUCUCCUCCUCAGGUCCAAGACCAGAGGGUCUGCAGGGCCCCAGAGCAGCUGGCCGCGCUCCGCUUCCCACCGCGCUCUCUGCUGGAACUCAUGUGGUCUAGGGGUCAGAAAUCUGCAAUCAGUUUCGGUGGACCAAAAUGAAAAUGUCAAACAGGGUGUCUGACACCCUCCAGAAGCACCAGAGGAGAAGCAGCUUUCCUUGGCCUUCCCAGGCAAAUCUCCCUCUGCCUCUCUCCCCUGGUGACGACAAUGGCUGGGGUCUUGACUUGCCAAGGGCAGCGUGGCCCGUACUGGUCACCUGGGUAUAGCUUUACUGAAUUUCGCAGAUCUGGAAACGGAGAAGGGACUGGAUCUCCAAACUUGGACUGCCUUGGACUGACCCUGGCCUGGAAGGUGUGGGCUCAGGACUCCGAGCUCAAGUCAGUCUGUUCCCCCAACCCCUAACCCACUGCAUCCGGGUGAGGAGUUGGGCCCGAGCGCCACAGCGCAGAUAGGGUUGUUAGGAGCGAAAGACUGGAGACCCAGGGACUGUGGGGCUGGGCUGGUGGGGCCACUGCUACCGACUAAGCAGUACGGGCCGCCUGGAAGACCGAAGGCGGAGUUCGCUGAUGCGGAAGCCAAGGCACAGGGCAAUAAGGAUCCGCGCCAUUUCUUGUGAUGUCACCUGAAGCCUUGGCGGGUAGCUGCCUCUCAUCCAUUCGGAGGACAGGGCUCCAGCCACCGGCAGCUCUGAAAGAGUUUGAAGAAUUUAUUGUUCACAGAUGGUAUUUAAAUGGACUUAUUUCUAAAAGUCACAUUCCUUUAUUACUUAUUUGUUAUUAGAAGUACCCAUUUUCAUAUGUGUUUAAAACUAUUUGUGUCUCAAAUUCUCAGGAGAUUGAUGCAUCCCAGUUUACUCUUUUUGGCAUAUGUUUUUACUCAUAAAUUAGGUUAAAUUUCAUACUUGUUUUAUAAAAUUUAGUUAUUUGGUUACAUUAAAAUAUUUGUAUCCAGAUAAGAAGUCUCUUCCUUCUCCUA